AGCAACAAAACUUCAUCUGAAAGUGUGGCGUCCUCUCGUUCUCUGCGCUUUCACUGGGAGCUACAAUCCCGAGCUGCUAGUGAUCAGCCAUCUUGGAUCUCUCUCCAUUUUUCUUAAUGAUAUAGAGUUGGUCAUCUUGAUUGUGAAUAGUUGGUAAAGGCUUUUUUUCUGCCACAUACGGGAAGAAGGAGCAAUCCAAUUCUAAGCAUUCUCUCAGGAGUGAACAGGAAUAGCGGCUGGUGCACAGCCCCUGAAGGAUGACGUUAUUUAUGACAACUUAGCCAAUUACCAAUGUGUCUCCUAAUAUAUUCCCUUUUAGCAAGUUGUUUGUUUAUUUUUCAGUAUAGCUUAUUAGUAGGGAAACUAGGGAUGAUAUUUUGAGAGCCAGGUUGAAAAGCAGAGACGUGUACAUUAGUUGUGAGGUUAAAAAAAAUGUUGAUUCAUUCCCAGAUAGAUUACUUAGAUUAUUAAGCGAGAACUAUAUUUGAAAUUUGAUAAGUGUUUCAAUAUUACAUUUGGUUAUCUUUUGUGAUUAGUUUCAAAGAGUUGUUUGAAAGCUCGAGAACAUUUUGGUACAGUAAAAGCACAUCUAAUGUCUUGGAAGACCAAGUUUCCUGCUGAACAGUAUUGCAGAAAAAAUUUGUUGAUCCUCGCUGUAUAGCCGGGGUUCCUAGCUCCCAGGCUGUGGACUGGUACUGGUCUGUGGCCUGUUAGGAACUGGGGUGCACAGAAGGAGGCGGAGUUUCACUGUGUCGCCCAGGCUGGAGUGCAGUGGUGUGAUCUUGGGUCACUGCAACCUCCGCCUCCCAGAUUUCAUGAGCACUGGAGGUUUGUGUUGCAGCGCUUGGUCUUCUUGGCAGCAUUUGUUGUAUAUUUGGAAACAGAAACACUAGUGACUCGAGAAGCGGUUGCAGAAAUUUUUGGCAUUGAUCCAGAUCAGGAGAAAGGAUUUCAUCUGGAUGUAGAAGAUUGUCUCUCAGGAGUUCUAAUUCUUGCCAGUGAACUGAAAAAAUUUGUUGAUCCUCGCUGUAUAGCCGGGGUUCCUAGCUCCCAGGCUGUGGACUGGUACUGGUCUGUGGCCUGUUAGGAACUGGGGUGCACAGAAGGAGAUUUCAUGAGCACUGGAGGUUUGUGUUGCAGCGCUUGGUCUUCUUGGCAGCAUUUGUUGUAUAUUUGGAAACAGAAACACUAGUGACUCGAGAAGCGGUUGCAGAAAUUUUUGGCAGUAAGUGUCUUCAUUAGUGGGAUCUGCAG
Cebus imitator (Panamanian white-faced capuchin) is the source of this 1254-nucleotide RNA transcript. It is a transcript of the gene named translin-like, with no coding region annotated. The transcript has 7 exons. The record is from RefSeq and is a predicted model, not a curated record. NCBI's taxonomy places the organism in Eukaryota, Metazoa, Chordata, Mammalia, Primates, Cebidae.